GCCAGCAUGGCGCAGUGGUUUGAGCGUUGGACUGUGACUUUGCAGACCUGGGUUCGAUUUCCCGCUCAGCCA
Phrynosoma platyrhinos (Desert horned lizard) is the source of this 72-nucleotide non-coding RNA. The record is from the annotation of a GenBank genome assembly. NCBI's taxonomy places the organism in Eukaryota, Metazoa, Chordata, Lepidosauria, Squamata, Phrynosomatidae.